RNAcentral lists this ribosomal RNA (497 nucleotides) under uncultured bacterium. Its description in RNAcentral is "partial 16S ribosomal RNA". It matches the Rfam family "Bacterial small subunit ribosomal RNA", at positions 28 to 507 of the family's 1533-position model. The record is from RNAcentral.
GAUGAACGCUGGCGGCGUGCCUAAUACAUGCAAGUCGAGCGAACGGACGAGAAGCUUGCUUCUCUGAUGUUAGCGGCGGACGGGUGAGUAACACGUGGAUAACCUACCUAUAAGACUGGGAUAACUUCGGGAAACCGUAGCUAAUACCGGAUAAUAUUUUGAACCGCAUGGUUCAAAAGUGAAAGACGGUCUUGCUGUCACUUAUAGAUGGAUCCGCGCUGCAUUAGCUAGUUGGUAAGGUAACGGCUUACCAAGGCAACGAUGCAUAGCCGACCUGAGAGGGUGAUCGGCCACACUGGAACUGAGACACGGUCCAGACUCCUACGGGAGGCAGCAGUAGGGAAUCUUCCGCAAUGGGCGAUAGCCUGACGGAGCAACGCCGCGUGAGUGAUGAAGGUCUUCGGAUCGUAAAACUCUGUUAUUAGGGAAGAACAUAUGUGUAAGUAACUGUGCACAUCUUGACGGUACCUAAUCAGAAAGCCACGGCCAACUACGUG